AUUGAACGCUGGCGGCAGGCCUAACACAUGCAAGUCGAGCGAGCGGCGGACGGGUGAGUAAUGUAUGGGGACUGCCCGAUAGAGGGGGAUAAAUACUGGAAACGGUAGCUAAUACCGCAUACUAUCGGAUAACCCAUAUGGGAUUAGCUAGUAGGUGAGGUAAGUGCUCACCUAGGCGACGAUCCCUCGCUGGUCUGAGAGGAUGAUCAGCCACACUGGGACUGAGACACGGCCCAGACUCAUACGGCGGCAGCAGUGGGGAAUAUUGCACAAUGGGCGCAAGCCUGAUGCCACCAUGCCGCGUGUAUGAAGAGGGCCUCCGGGUUGUAAAGUACUUUCAGCGGGGAGGCGUUACCCGCAGAAGAAGCACCGGCUAACUCCGGGCCAGCAGCCGCGGUAUUU
Molecule: ribosomal RNA, 402 nt
Filed under: uncultured bacterium
Lineage: Bacteria
Description: partial 16S ribosomal RNA
Rfam family: Bacterial small subunit ribosomal RNA
Source: RNAcentral